Molecule: transfer RNA, 72 nt
Filed under: Chaetomium globosum CBS 148.51
Lineage: Eukaryota; Fungi; Ascomycota; Sordariomycetes; Sordariales; Chaetomiaceae
Description: tRNA-Arg (ACG) (tRNA-Arg-ACG-2-1)
Rfam family: tRNA
About the family: Transfer RNA (tRNA) molecules are approximately 80 nucleotides in length. Their secondary structure includes four short double-helical elements and three loops (D, anti-codon, and T loops).
Source: RNAcentral
GGUCCGCUGGCUCAAUGGUAGAGCGUUUGACUACGAAUCAAGAGGUUCCAGGUUCGAGCCCUGGGCGGAUCG